UACAGAGGGGGCAAGCGUUAUUCGGAAUUAUUGGGCGUAAAGGGCGCGUAGGCGGCUUGGCAAGUGGAUGGUGAAAUCCCUCGGCUUAACCGAGGAACUGCGUCCAAGACUGGGAGGCUUGAAUCCGGGAGAGGGAUGCGGAAUUCCAGGUGUAGCGGUGAAAUGCGUAGAUAUCUGGAGGAACACCGAUGGCGAAGGCAGGUCUCUGGGCCGCAACUGACGCUGAGGAGCGAAAGCAUGGGGAGCGAACAGG
Molecule: ribosomal RNA, 253 nt
Filed under: uncultured bacterium
Lineage: Bacteria
Description: partial 16S ribosomal RNA
Rfam family: Bacterial small subunit ribosomal RNA
Source: RNAcentral